RNAcentral lists this ribosomal RNA (431 nucleotides) under Bacillus amyloliquefaciens. RNAcentral's name for it is "bacterial SSU rRNA". It matches the Rfam family "Bacterial small subunit ribosomal RNA", at positions 89 to 505 of the family's 1533-position model. Lineage: Bacteria; Bacillati; Bacillota; Bacilli; Caryophanales; Bacillaceae. The record is from RNAcentral.
AUGUUAGCGGCGGACGGGUGAGUAACACGUGGGUAACCUGCCUGUAAGACUGGGAUAACUCCGGGAAACCGGGGCUAAUACCGGAUGCUUGUUUGAACCGCAUGGUUCAAACAUAAAAGGUGGCUUCGGCUACCACUUACAGAUGGACCCGCGGCGCAUUAGCUAGUUGGUGAGGUAACGGCUCACCAAGGCGACGAUGCGUAGCCGACCUGAGAGGGUGAUCGGCCACACUGGGACUGAGACACGGCCCAGACUCCUACGGGAGGCAGCAGUAGGGAAUCUUCCGCAAUGGACGAAAGUCUGACGGAGCAACGCCGCGUGAGUGAUGAAGGUUUUCGGAUCGUAAAGCUCUGUUGUUAGGGAAGAACAAGUGCCGUUCAAAUAGGGCGGCACCUUGACGGUACCUAACCAGAAAGCCACGGCUAACUACG